GGACCCGCACAAGCGGUGGAGCAUGUGGUUUAAUUCGAAGCAACGCGAAGAACCUUACCAGGUCUUGACAUCCUUUGACCAUCCUAGAGAUAGGACUUUCCCUUCGGGGACAAAGUGACAGGUGGUGCAUGGUUGUCGUCAGCUCGUGUCGUGAGAUGUUGGGUUAAGUCCCGCAACGAGCGCAACCCUUAUUGUUAGUUGCCAUCAUUCAGUUGGGCACUCUAGCGAGACUGCCGCAGACAAUGCGGAGGAAGGUGGGGAUGACGUCAAAUCAUCAUGCCCCUUAUGACCUGGGCUACACACGUGCUACAAUGGAGAGUACAACGAGUCGCAAAGCCGCGAGGCUAAGCCAAUCUCUUAAAGCUCUUCUCAGUUCGGAUUGUAGGCUGCAACUCGCCUACAUGAAGCCGGAAUCGCUAGUAAUCGCGGAUCAGCACGCCGCGGUGAAUACGUUCCCGGGUCUU
RNAcentral lists this ribosomal RNA (464 nucleotides) under uncultured bacterium. Its description in RNAcentral is "bacterial SSU rRNA". It matches the Rfam family "Bacterial small subunit ribosomal RNA", at positions 917 to 1382 of the family's 1533-position model. The record is from RNAcentral.